This 2980-nucleotide ribosomal RNA is filed under the name oral metagenome. RNAcentral's name for it is "bacterial LSU rRNA". It matches the Rfam family "Bacterial large subunit ribosomal RNA". The record is from RNAcentral.
AGGGCAUACGGUGGAUGCCUUGGAGCUAAUGGCCGACGAAGGACGUGGUAAGCUGCGAAAAGCUGCGGUGAGGAGCAAACAUCCCUUGACCCGCAGAUAUCCGAAUGGGGCAACCCUCCUGCUAGAAGAGCAGGAAUCCUCUUUUGAAGGGGAAGGAACCCGGUGAAGUGAAACAUCUCAGUAACCGGAGGAGAAGAAAUCGAAGAGAUGCCCUGAGUAGUGGUGAGCGAAAGGGGCUUAGCCUAAACCGGGAUCAUGCCAAGCUUGCAGGCGUUGUGUUUUCGGUGUAGUGGGACCCUUGUGGAGCUGCUGCAACAGCUUCUUGGAGUUACAAAACUGACUUAUAGUCGAAAGGUGUUGGGAAAGCCUACCGUAGAAGGUGAAAGUCCUGUAGGCGAAAUGAGUCAGUCUCUGAAAGAGGUGUUCCCAAGUAGGGCGGAGCACGUGGAAUUCCGUCUGAAUCUGGGUGGACCAUCAUCCAAGGCUAAAUACCAUUAGCUACCGAUAGCGAAACAGUACCGAGAGGGAAAGGUGAAAAGCACCCCUGGCGGGGAGUGAAAAGACCUGAAACCGUAUGCUUACAAGCAGUCGGAGGGGAAAUUGGAGCUUGCUCUAGUUGACCUGACGGCGUGCCUCUUGGAAAAUGAGCCAGCGAGUUACCUUACGUGGCGAGGUUAAGGGCUUGAAGGUCUGAAGCCGUAGGGAAACCGAGUCCGAACAGGGCGACAAGUCUCGUGUGGUAGACCCGAAGCCGGACGAUCUAUCCAUGGCCAGGUUGAAGGUCAGGUAAAACUGACUGGAGGACCGAACCAGGGUCUGUUGAAAAAGGCUUGGAUGAGCUGUGGAUAGGAGUGAAAAGCUAAUCGAGUUCGGUGAUAGCUGGUUCUCCCCGAAAUGCAUUGAGGUGCAGCCUCGUGUUAGAAAGUUGUGGGGGUAGAGCACUGGAUGGGUGCGGGGGACUGGGGUCCUACCAAUCUCAACCAAACUCCGAAUACCAUAACUGGAUUCACGGGAGUGAGACUGCGAGCGAGAAGGUCCGUAGUCGAAAGGGAAACAGCCCAGACCGACAGCUAAGGUCCCAAAGCGAGUGCUAAGUGUGACAAGGAUGUGGGGGUACCCAGACAGCCAGGAGGUUGGCUUAGAAGCAGCCAUCCUUGAAAGAGUGCGUAACAGCUCACUGGUCGAGUGCCCCUGCGCCGAAAAUGUGGGGGGCUAAGCACACCGCCGAAGCUUCGGAUAUGCAUAUUAUAUAUGUAUGUGGUAGGGGAGCGUUCUGUACGGGGCGAAGUAUGACCGAAAGGGAAUGUGGACUGUACAGAAGUGAGAAUGCUGGCAUGAGUAACGUAAAACAUGUGAGAACCAUGUUCGUCGAAAGCCCAAGGAUUCCUGGGGAAGGUUAGUCCGCCCAGGGUUAGGCGGGACCUAAGGCAAGGCUGAAGAGCGUAGCCGAUGGACAGCAGGUAGACAUUCCUGCCCCGCCCCGAGGACGUUAUUACUGAAGUGGUGACGCAGAAAGCUAGGUACGCUGGGUGAUGGAAUACCCAGUACAAAGGUGUAGGGGGAUUGAGCAGGCAAAUCCGCUCGGUCAUAACUCUGAGGCCUGAUGUGGAAGCUCUACGGAGUUGAAGGUAUUGAGGCUCUGCUGCCGAGAAAAGCCACUAGGGAGGAAUUGGGGCGCCCGUACUGUAAACCGACACAGGUGGGCAAGCUGAGCAGGCUAAGACGGACGGGGAAACCCUCUUUAAGGAACUCUGCAAUUUGACUCCGUAACUUCGGGAGAAGGAGUGCCACUUAGGUGAAGCGUAUAAUCAUGUGGAGCUAUAAGUGGUCGCAGAACCCAGGCCCAGGCAACUGUUUACUAAAAACACAGGUCUCUGCUGAAGCCGUAAGGCGACGUAUAGGGACUGACGCCUGCCCGGUGCUGGAAGGUUAAGGGGAAGUGUUAGGAUUCGUCCGAAGCGCGGAACUGAAGCCCCAGUAAACGGCGGCCGUAACUAUAACGGUCCUAAGGUAGCGAAAUUCCUUGUCGGGUAAGUUCCGACCUGCACGAAAGGCGUAAUGAUCUGGGCGCUGUCUCGAAGGGGGACCCGGUGAAAUUGUGGUACCGGUAAAGACGCCGGUUACCUGUGGUGGGACGGAAAGACCCCGUGGAGCUUUACUGUAGCUUGAUAUUGGACUUCGGUAUAGUAUGUACAGGAUAGGUGGGAGACGAAGAAGUUAUGCCGUCAGGUGUAUCUGAGUCGUCCUUGGGAUACCACCCUUAUUGUACUGGGGUUCUAACCUCGACUUCUGAAUCGGAGCGAGGGACAGUUUCAGGUAGGCAGUUUGACUGGGGCGGUCGCCUCCUAAAGAGUAACGGAGGCGCGCGAAGGUUGUCUCAGGGCGAAUGGAAAUCGCCUAAAGAGCGCAAGGGUAUAAGACAGCCUGACUGUGAGAUAGACAUAUCGAGCAGGUGCGAAAGCAGGUCCUAGUGAUCCGGCGGUACUGAGUGGAAAGGCCGUCGCUCAUCGGAUAAAAGCUACCCCGGGGAUAACAGGCUUAUCUCCCCCGAGAGUUCCCAUCGACGGGGAGGUUUGGCACCUCGAUGUCGGCUCGUCGCAUCCUGGGGCUGUAGCAGGUCCCAAGGGUUGGUCUGUUCGCCCAUUAAAGCGGUACGUGAGCUGGGUUUAGAACGUCGUGAGACAGUUCGGUCCCUAUCCACCAUAGGCGAAGGGUAUUUGAGGAGAGCUGCUCCUAGUACGAGAGGACCGGAGUGGACGCACCACUAGUGUACCAGUUGUCGCGCCCGCGGCAUAAGCUGGGUAGCCAUGUGCGGCAUGGAUAACCGCUGAAGGCAUCUAAGCGGGAAGCCACCUUCAAGAUGAGAUACCCUAUCUGUAAGAAGAAUAAGGUGUCCGGAAGACGACCGGUUAGAUAGGUCGGAGGUGUAAGCCCUGUGAGGGGUUGAGCUGACCGAUACUAAUACACCGAAGCCUUAACC